Molecule: ribosomal RNA, 272 nt
Filed under: uncultured bacterium
Lineage: Bacteria
Description: partial 16S ribosomal RNA
Rfam family: Bacterial small subunit ribosomal RNA
Source: RNAcentral
UACGUAGGGUGCAAGCGUUAAUCGGAAUUACUGGGCGUAAAGCGUGCGCAGGCGGUUAUAUAAGACAGAUGUGAAAUCCCCGGGCUCAACCUGGGAACUGCAUUAGUGACUGUAUAGCUAGAGUGCGGCAGAGGGGGAUGGAAUUCCGCGUGUAGCAGUGAAAUGCGUAGAUAUGCGGAGGAACACCGAUGGCGAAGGCAAUCCCCUGGGCCUGCACUGACGCUCAUGCACGAAAGCGUGGGGAGCAAACAGGAUUAGAAACCCUAUAGUCC